Molecule: ribosomal RNA, 253 nt
Filed under: uncultured bacterium
Lineage: Bacteria
Description: partial 16S ribosomal RNA
Rfam family: Bacterial small subunit ribosomal RNA
Source: RNAcentral
GACGAACCGUACGAACGUUAUUCGGAAUUACUGGGCUUAAAGGGUGCGUAGGCUGCGCGGAAAGUUGGGUGUGAAAUCCCUCGGCUCAACCGAGGAACUGCGCUCAAAACUACCGUGCUCGAGGGAGACAGAGGUGAGCGGAACUUAGGGUGGAGCGGUGAAAUGCGUUGAUAUCCUAAGGAACACCCGUGGCGAAAGCGGCUCACUGGGUCUCUUCUGACACUGAGGCACGAAAGCUAGGGUAGCGAACGGG